Molecule: long non-coding RNA, 827 nt
Organism: Amphibalanus amphitrite
Lineage: Eukaryota; Metazoa; Arthropoda; Thecostraca; Balanomorpha; Balanidae
Exons: 3
Source: RefSeq, a predicted model, not a curated record
UAUCCAUUGCAAAUCUAUUGGAACGAUUGGAACUUAGUCCGUUUACUCGCGUAUUUCGGCAGAUUAUCCGGGUUAUCAGUGUUAAAGUGCAGUCAAAUACUUGCAAAUAAUAAAAAUGGUGCUUGGUACUUUAUUGUCAGUAUAUCACUUUAUUAGUGACAGGCUGUCAGGAAGGAGAGAAAGAACUUUUAUUAUGAUCAAACCUGAUGGUGUUGAACGGGGAUUGGUUGGAGAAAUAAUCAGACGAUUUGAACGAAGAGGAUUCAAGCUUCUUGCUAUGAAAUUUAUGCAGUCAUCUGUGCAGCAUCUGCAUCAGCACUAUGAGGAUCUGGCGGACAAACCGUUUUUUGCUGGCCUGGUGCAAUACAUGUCAAGUGGUCCUGUGGUGCCCAUGGUCUGGGAGGGACAGGAUGCUGUGCAGAUCGGACGUGCCAUGCUGGGAGAAACACGGCCUCAGGACUCGGCGCCAGGGACUAUCCGGGGUGACUUUGCUCUCCAGGUUGGACGGAACAUUGUUCACGGCUCCGACUCUGUGGCGUCGGCCGAGCGAGAAAUCUGGCUCUGGUUCCGCUCACAUGAGAUCACCAAUUGGGCUCCCUGCGACGAGUGCUGGAUCAACGAAGAAUGAUGAUCGGUGCGACACCUGCCGGAAAACGGUUGCGCUGUCGGGCGGAGCGCGGACAAACCAUGACGACAAUUGACGCCGAUCGUUCGUGCCAUGUUUGUUCGGCCAGUUUUGAUAACUUUUUUUGUUUUUAUACAUUAAGCGAUAAUUUAUAGUUUAUACGACAUGUUGCAUAUGUAAAAUAUAAAAUGAAACAAGCUAA